Molecule: unclassified non-coding RNA, 267 nt
Filed under: Hevea brasiliensis (rubber tree)
Lineage: Eukaryota; Viridiplantae; Streptophyta; Magnoliopsida; Malpighiales; Euphorbiaceae
Source: RNAcentral
UGGGUUGAAGAGGUAGAGGGGGCUACCAUCUGAGGGAUGGCGACUUUUGUUGCAUCUGGAGGCUGGCUCUUAGUGGGACCUGCCGGUGCAGUCGGCGGUUGCGGAGGCGGGUUUGGGACUGCUGGUUGUCGACCUGGUGCUGUUGCCGCUGGUACUUGACGGGUUUGCUGUGGCGGCUGACGCUGAGCAGGGCGGGGCCUCGAUGACUGUUGCGGUGACUGUGAAGCAACAUACUGCAAGACCUCAAAAAUCCGGGUUUGACCAUAG